RNAcentral lists this ribosomal RNA (253 nucleotides) under uncultured bacterium. RNAcentral describes it as "partial 16S ribosomal RNA". It matches the Rfam family "Bacterial small subunit ribosomal RNA", at positions 524 to 776 of the family's 1533-position model. The record is from RNAcentral.
UACGAGUGCCCCAAGCGUUAUCCGGAAUCAUUGGGCGUAAAGGGUGUGUAGGCGGUUUUGUUAGUCUUCUGUUAAAUUCUUCGGCUUAACCGGGGGCAUGCAGGGGAAACGGCACAACUAGAGGAUGCGAGAGGUGAAUGGAACUCAUGGAGUAGGGGUGAAAUCCGUUGAUAUCAUGGGGAACACCAAAAGCGAAGGCAAUGCACUGGCGCACUCCUGACGCUGAGACACGAAAGCGUAGGUAGCGAAUGGG